This 278-nucleotide ribosomal RNA is filed under the name uncultured Peptoniphilus sp. Its description in RNAcentral is "partial 16S ribosomal RNA". It matches the Rfam family "Bacterial small subunit ribosomal RNA", at positions 79 to 355 of the family's 1533-position model. Lineage: Bacteria; Bacillati; Bacillota; Tissierellia; Tissierellales; Peptoniphilaceae. The record is from RNAcentral.
AAGAUAAGACGGAUUAGCGGCGGACGGGUGAGUAACACGUGAGUAACCUGCCUUUACACAGGGAUAGCCUCGGGAAACCGGGAUUAAAACCUGAUGAAACUAUCAAAUCACAUGAUUAAGAAAGUUAAAACUCCGGUGGUAAAAGAUGGACUCGCGUCCCAUUAGCUAGUUGGUGAAGGUAACGGCCCACCAAGGCAACGAUGGGUAGCCGGCCUGAGAGGGUGAACGGCCACAUUGGAACUGAGAAACGGUCCAAACUCCUACGGGAGGCAGCAGUU